This 400-nucleotide unclassified non-coding RNA is filed under the name uncultured fungus. RNAcentral describes it as "sequence contains ITS1". The stretch from base 1 to 105 matches the Rfam family "5.8S ribosomal RNA", at positions 50 to 154 of the family's 154-position model. Lineage: Eukaryota; Fungi. The record is from RNAcentral.
GAAAUGCGAUAAGUAAUGUGAAUUGCAGAAUUCCGUGAAUCAUUAAAUCUUUGAACGCACAUUGCGCUCCGUGGUAUUCCGCAGAGCAUGUUUGUUUGAGAAUCAGUUUAAUCUAUCAAUUAUUAUUUUUUUUUAUUAAAGUUUAAUCGUUGGAGCAUGGGUUACUUUUCUUUUUUUUAAAAAAAGGACCUUAAUGAUAUUCUAUUUUGUCUCGAACCUCGAGUUAAACUCUUGGGUUGGGAAAAAAGCAUGACCAAAAAUGACCUUCGGGUUAAUUUUAUAGUGCCUAUUAACCUUAACCAGUAAGUAGUUUGAUUAGAAUCGAUUGCGCAACAAUAGUAAAACGUAAAGCACGAAGUUUUUCUAACCAAAAACUUUAAGACUUGAUCUCAAAUCAAAU